GAUGAAGAACGCAGCGAAAUGCGAUAAAUAAUGUGAAUUGCAGAAUUCAGUGAAUCAUCGAGUCUUUGAACGCACAUUGCGCCCCCUGGUAUUCCGGGGGGCAUGCCUGUCCGAGCGUCAUUGCUGCCCUCAAGCACGGCUUGUGUGUUGGGCCCCCGUCCCCCCCUCCCGGGGGACGGGCCCGAAAGGCAGCGGCGGCACCGCGUCCGGUCCUCGAGCGUAUGGGGCUUUGUCACCCGCUCUGUAGGCCCGGCCGGCGCCUGCCGACCACCAUCAAUCUUUUUUCAGGUUGAUCUCGGAUCAGGUUGGGAUACCCGCUGAACUUAAGCAUAUCAAUAAGCGGAGGA
Molecule: unclassified non-coding RNA, 347 nt
Filed under: soil metagenome
Description: partial contains 5.8S ribosomal RNA, internal transcribed spacer 2, and large subunit ribosomal RNA
Rfam family: 5.8S ribosomal RNA (bases 1-120)
Source: RNAcentral